This 828-nucleotide ribosomal RNA is filed under the name uncultured archaeon. RNAcentral describes it as "bacterial SSU rRNA". It matches the Rfam family "Archaeal small subunit ribosomal RNA", at positions 14 to 848 of the family's 1478-position model. The record is from RNAcentral.
CUGCCGGCGGUCACCGCUCUUGGAAUCCGACUAAGCCAUGCGAGUCGAGAGGGUUCGGCCCUCGGCGAACUGCUCAGUAACACGUGGAUAACCUACCCUGUAGUGGGGCAUAAUCUCGGGAAACUGAGGAUAAUACCCCAUAGGUCUGGGUGACUGGAAUGUCCCCAGGCUCAAAGCUCAGGCGCUUCAGGAUGGGUCUGCGGCCUAUCAGGUUGUAGUGAGUGUAAAGGACUCACUAGCCGACGACGGGUACGGGCCAUGGGAGUGGUAGCCCGGAGAUGGAUUCUGAGACACGAAUCCAGGCCCUACGGGGCGCAGCAGGCGCGAAAACUUCGCAAUGCGCGCAAGCGCGACGAGGGGAUUCCAAGUGCAUGCACUCAGUGUAUGCUGUUCAACAGUUUAAAACGCUGUUGGAGUGAGGGCUGGGUAAGACUGGUGCCAGCCGCCGCGGUAAUACCAGCGGCCCUAGUGGUGAUCGUUAUUAUUGGGCCUAAAGCGUCCGUAGCCGGCCCGGUAAAUCUCUGGGUAAAUCGUUGGGCUUAACUCAACGAAUUCUGGGGAGACUGCCGGGCUUGGGACCGGGAGAGGUCGGAGGUACUCCAGGGGUAGGGGUGAAAUCCUGUAAUCCUUGGGGGACCACCGGUGGCGAAGGCGUCCGACCAGAACGGGUCCGACGGUAAGGGACGAAGCCCUGGGGCGCGAACCGGAUUAGAUACCCGGGUAGUCCAGGGUGUAAACGCUGUGCGCUUGGUGUUGGGGGUCCUCCGCGGGCACCCAGUGCCGGAGAGAAGUUGUUAAGCGCACCGCCUGGGGAGUACGGUCGCAAGA